Long non-coding RNA from Musa acuminata AAA Group (dessert banana), 436 nucleotides. RefSeq lists it as uncharacterized. The record is from RefSeq and is a predicted model, not a curated record. The transcript is spliced from 2 exons. NCBI's taxonomy places the organism in Eukaryota, Viridiplantae, Streptophyta, Magnoliopsida, Zingiberales, Musaceae.
AUGGAAACAACAGAUGGCAGAGGAAGAUGAAGCAGUGGUAGGGGACCCAAGGAAGCUUCCCCAUUGUGCUUGGAGGACAGUAGGCUUAUUGGAGGGCUUUGCUAUGCAUGGAGGAAAAAGAUAGACCUUUUCUCAUCAGAACACAAUGUUGUGGAUUCAUCAGCCAUCACCAUGGGCAGCUUUAGAGCAAGAACACAUGCAAACAGCUACUGCAGCUGCCUUCAUGUUGCUUUGUUGGAGUGGAGUGGAGUGCAGUGGAGUGAGAGGACCACUAAAACUCCAUGGUGGAAGGGAAGAAAAGCUAACCAGUCUGAAGCAGAAACUUACUAGCUUUAAAGUACUGUAUGUGCUAAACCCAUUAUAGCCAUGGAAAUGCUUCCUGUGCUCUCAAAUUCUCGGUAUAAUCAUUAAAACAAAGACCUGAUCGAUCCCUACA